UACGGAGGGUGCAAGCGUUGUCCGGAAUUAUUGGGUUUAAAGGGUGCGUAGGCGGCUUAUUAAGUCGGAGUUGAAAUACCUUAGCUUAACUAAGGAACUGGCUUCGAUACUGGUAAGCUUGAGUACAGUAGAGGUACAUGGAAUUCAUUGUGUAGCGGUGAAAUGCAUAGAUACAAUGAAGAACACCAAUUGCGAAGGCAGUGUACUGGACUGGAACUGACGCUGAGGCACGAAAGCAUGGGGAUCAAACAGG
Molecule: ribosomal RNA, 253 nt
Filed under: uncultured bacterium
Lineage: Bacteria
Description: partial 16S ribosomal RNA
Rfam family: Bacterial small subunit ribosomal RNA
Source: RNAcentral